This 828-nucleotide ribosomal RNA is filed under the name uncultured bacterium. Its description in RNAcentral is "bacterial SSU rRNA". It matches the Rfam family "Bacterial small subunit ribosomal RNA", at positions 8 to 811 of the family's 1533-position model. The record is from RNAcentral.
AGAGUUUGAUCAUGGCUCAGAACGAACGCUGGCGGCGUGCCUAAUACAUGCAAGUCGCGCGAGAAAGUGGUAGCAAUACCAUGAGUAGAGCGGCAAACGGGUGAGUAACACGUAAGUAACCUCCCUCUAAAUCUGGAAUAACCUUGCCAACGCGGGGCUAAUACCGGAUGUGGCCCGCUUUUCACAAGAAGAGCGGAUUAAAGGCGACCUCUAUUUAUACGUUGUCGUUUAGAGAUGGACUUGCGCACUAUUAGCUAGUUGGCGGGGUAACGGCCCACCAAGGCUUUGAUGGUUAGCCGGCCUGAGAGGGUGUACGGCCACAUUGGGACUGAGAUACGGCCCAGACUCCUACGGGAGGCAGCAGUAGGGAAUUUUGCGCAAUGGACGAAAGUCUGACGCAGCAACGCCGCGUGAGUGAUGAAGGUCUUCGGAUUGUAAAGCUCUGUUGAGUGGGAAGAAAAGUUUAGGGAAUAAUACCUCUGAACGUGACGGUACCAUUCGAGGAAGCCCCGGCUAACUACGUGCCAGCAGCCGCGGUAAUACGUAGGGGGCAAGCGUUGUUCGGAAUCACUGGGCGUAAAGGGAGAGUAGGCGGGAAAAUAAGUUAGGAGUUUAAUGUCCGGGCUUAACCCGGAAUCUGCUUCUAAUACUGUUUUUCUUGAGUAUUGGAGAGGGAGAUGGAAUUCCAGGUGUAGCGGUGGAAUGCGUAGAUAUCUGGAAGAACACCAGCUGCGAAGGCGGUCUCCUGGCCAAAUACUGACGCUGAUGCUCGAAAGCUAGGGGAGCAAACAGGAUUAGAUACCCUGGUAGUCCUAGCCGUAAACGAUG